CCUGCCAUAGGACAGGCUGAGGCAGAGUCUCAGUGUUGCCCUGUUCAGUCUGAGGCAAGUGGGAUUUAUUUUAUUCGUUCUGGGGGCUUUCACAGCUUUAUGGCUGUUGGAUAUUUAUGUCCCCAAACUUGCAGCAAGUUUGGUGAAGGCCCCUACUUUUAUUUUAAUUUAGGUUUUUAAUUCUCUUUUGGUAGAUGGGCUCUAUAUUAAUAUUAAUCUUUUUAUUAUCACUGUUUUUUUUAAGAGUCUCGGGGAGGGAACGUGUUUUGAGAGGUUUGGGUACUGUUUCACUUAUGGUCAGGGAGUCCUUCAGCCACACUGUACCCCUGCCCCCUUCCCCUGUGUUUUAUUUGUGCUGUAUUUGUUCUGCUUUUGACAAUGUGACUUUUUAUACAUGCUGCUGGUUCAAAAACUACAGAUUAAUUACUAAUUUUUCUUCCGGGAAGAUGUAUUUAACAAAGUGCUUGAAAUACUUAGGCUUUAACUAAGAAGUGACAUCCCUUAUCACACAGACUUGCAGCCUAAAUUACAGUUGCUAUGGAGGAGGACAUUGACUGCUGUAUUUGUGAGCUACCCCACAGCAAAUGUUGGUGUAGUGCCCUGUAAAGAACUAGAGAUUCCAGUCGAUGGAAGAAUGAGAAAAGAAAGCUGAAGUUCUUUCAGCUUGUCACUUUCAGGAAAACCUUUUCAUUGAUCACUUAAAUACACUGAACUUCACAGUAAUUUGUUGCAUCAGUGUACUGGGAAAAAAAUCAUCUUACUUUCUUGAAACCACGUGGACUUGUUGCAUAUCCAAAAUUUGCUGAAGGUUAUGGCUAUCUGAAUUUACUACUUUUGCAGAAUAGCUGGCAAAAACUUCCAUCCUUUGUGAAGAAAAACUGGUGCUGCUCACUUGGAGUACGCUGAUUUUGAAUGCUUGAGGUGGCUUAAAGAGAGCUUCAGAGGAGCAAGUUUUGUCCAAGGAAGUUGUUAAUGUUCUUGUGGAGCACAAUCUGUAUUUCAUUUCUCCAGGAGUGGGAUCAGUAAUGACGCACUUGGAGAUUUUCAGUAAGUGGUGUUGAAGGAUAAGGAGUGGAUUUCUCAUGGGGGCCCAAGUAGUCUCUGACUGGAAGUUGCCGUGUCCUCUGCUUUCUGUUUCAGAGUAAUUGCUGAUUUCCUUACUGUGGUGCUACACUUAGUGCUUUAAGAUACACCAGCACAACUGGUCAUUAUUUCACUUAUUCAGUCUCUAGGAGCAUUUGGCUUAGUUCUUAUUUCCCCAGAGUAUCUAAAGAAGCCAUUUAACUAAGUAUUCAGCAUGACUUGUACUUCUUUAAGUAGCUGAAUCUCUGAAAGACUCCAGAUGGGGAAAAGAAAAAAAACAAAUUUUGGAUGGAUUGUGUUGAAUUUUGUCAUCAGUUUUCAUGUAAGAAUGAUGCAGCAUGGGGUAGUUUUUAUGCAGCUACUUGUAUUUAGCUUGUGUCACAAACAGUAGCUGAAGUUUACACAAGUGCUUCACUGUCUGUAAAUGAAGUGCCCUACUUAAAUCCACUUGGGCUACCUCAGUACAUUGAUAUUCUGGUGAGAGCUGAACAUUCUCAAAGCAAACUUCGUUUUUAUUGGAGCAAAGCAGGUUUACAUGUUCAUGGAAAGUAUGUGCCAGGGAUGCAGUUCCUGUCUCCCUUGUUGAUCAAGCUGUGUGUACUGAUACUUCAGGACAGAUGAGCCAUUUCUUUGUAUUUUUUGCGUGAUUUCACACACCACGUGACACUGCAUAGCAUCACAAUGCUAUGGAUUUUUUUUUUUUUUCUUUUCUUAAAGCUUUUGGAAAAUUUCAAGAAAAUGAAUUUCACACUGCUUCUGAAAGAUGCAUUUGACUCCAGGAUAAUUCCAUGUACUGCUAUUCCGUGACAAUACCUUAUGAACUGAGGCUUUUUGCUCUAGGUUUUUCCUGUUGUUCAAACAUUCUCUGCUUCUACCCUUUACAUCGCUGUCCUUUUCUGUAAGUCUCCAUGGAUUGGACAGGACCAACCUGUUCCCUGUUUGGGUGUUGGUGUUUUUAGCAGGCUAUAUCCGUGUUACUCUGACCUGUUACCACAGACUAAUGUUUGUGCUUAAAUUUACAGCAACUAAUGAUGUGCAUUUUCCGUUUGCUUUGUGCCUCGUCCUAAAAGGUAUGUGUGCAGAGUACUGCUGUCUUUCUAGUCCAAAGGAUGGCAUGCUGACAAGGUGCAAGUAUCUGCUCAGCUGUCAGAAUAGCUGCCCUGUCGUCUCUUUAAAACAACCUGAAAAGUUCCCAUAGAUGGCAAAGGGUUCACAUCUUGUUCUUUUGGUGGAUCUUUGUUGGUGACCUCCUUCAUGCCUCGUGGAUCUAAGGAGGGUAGUACCAAAAGAAACUUAGACUGUAAAUGGAAUUUAUUGAUUUGGAAGGUUGGCAGCAUUUUUACUGGCACUCCAGUGCGUGCUGUCAGUAUUGCAGCAGUGUCAUAAAGCUGUAUAAUGCACUGUGGAAUUUCAUUUCUAAUGACUGUCAUAUAUUAGUGAAUUGACUUUCAUAGGCAGUAGUGGAGGCAGGUUUUGGAGAGCUGGGUUUUUAAGAUUGUGGAGUGCUACGUGACUCUUCUUAAACAUUAGGAAUGCCUGAAAUUCUGCUAAACUGAAUGAAUUUUAACCCACUGGUGCUGAGGAGUGAAGGAGAGACGUAGAAAAGUACGUAGCACAGCAGGAGCUCUGACUGGCUUUAGAAGUAUUCUGUGCCAUGCCUGAUAACUGCUAUGACCCAUAGUACUGUGAGGGCAGGCCAUCUCCUUUUAAAAACUUACCUUUUAAAAGUACAUAUACACCUGCAGUCAAGGCAGCAUUACCAGUGAAAUGCUGGCAGUUGCUUCAGAAAUGCAGUGAUAGUGACUGCUGCAAUUUUCAGUCAGAACUAAGUGAGGUAAACAGGAGUUUGGGAGUGAGAAGUCUCAGAGGCAGCCCUGCAGGGGAUGGAGUGAGUGUUCAUUGAGUGGCUGAAGUGUUACGUAUGGAGCUGAUUUGUUUGGGAAGUUCUGAAAAAAACUUUCUGAUAAUUUUCUUGUAUUCUCCUUUAAACAGCAGCUUUAUGCAAUCUUUUGAUUAUCAGAGAAUGCAGAUUUUUAUUCAGGCUCUACUGGAAGAAAAUACAAUUCUAGUACAGAAUUCAGAGAUUCUGUUGUGUAGUGAAUGCUCUUUUGCUCCGUGGAAGUUCUUGGGAGGUGUGAGGGAGCCAGGCGCCUCGGCGUGCCGCCUCUGCAGCCAGCAGCAUCCCGUCCUGAGCUGUGUGCUCCUGGCUGGUGCCUUCACUCCUUUGCUCUCAGCGUCCUGAUGAGUCUGUGCUGGCUGUCGGUGAGGACUUACAUUUGUGCAUCGGACCUCUGUUGUGAGUAAUAACGCACCUUGUCCCUUCUGAACAAGUUUAUGCUGACUUGUUCUAUUGCUUUAGGCUCACCUGCAGUAGUACCAGGCAGCAGCACUGCCGCUUCAUAACGAUGAACUGAGCUUCUCUGCAGAUAAGUCCUGAGCAUACCUUAAUGCUCGUGUUUCUCAGAGAAGCUGAAACAUCCUGAGGAAACAGUAGAGAUGGAGUGCAAGCAGCAUGUUAACCACAAGCAGAUGAUCCACAUGUUGGCAUUACAGUGUGUUAGGUAACUAUGUUGCAGCAGAUCCAGGUUUCUCAUGUCUCAAAUUUUAUCUUAAAUCUUCCCUACAUCUUAGCCACAUUCCCAGGUUCUUUUCAAAGAGGGUAGGUGUUGAAUUUCAACUUCUGCUGCCUUAAGUAAUCGGUAUCUACAAAUGGUUUUGGAUGGUAGCAACUUAGAAUUACCCAAAAACUAUGCCAUACAACUAUGGAAACUGUUUCAGUGUCCCAGCUUAGGGAAGUAUAUAAUGCUGUGAAAUAAAGAUGUCAUGCAAAGCUUCUUUCUUUCUCUUUGUCCCCCCAUUGUGUUGUAGAAGUGUGUGAUACAUGCAGGCACUGACUUCUUUAGCUUCUAGUCGAAGAAAAUACAUUUUGCUCUUUCAUUUGUAAAGUCUAGAAUAAGAAAACACUUUAUGAGAGUAUUUAAUGAAGGACCCUGGCAAUGUAAGUAUUGUGAUUUCCUUUCUAUUUGUGUUAGGCAGUGGGGUUACCUUGUUAAACUUCUGGCUUGUUAUCAAAAUAACAGAAACGUAAAGGCAAAUUGAAAGUAGUUUUAGUUGCCUUCGCUUCAUAUGCUUUUCAUAAGUGACAAAUUGUAGUAAUUGAAGUUCGGCAGCUUUUUUAAUUGAAAAACUAAAUUACAGGUUGAACUCCUUGGUUUAAUACAAUUUGUGUUUUUGUCAACUAGCAGCAGAAUUUCAGCAUUUGCUACUUACUGGUAGAGAAGAAAUAUCCUACAGCACUGCCAGUACAGGUUAGUUUAAUCUGUGAAGCACAUUAUUGAAAUGCAUCCCUCUCUGCAGUAGCCCAGCUACAGAUGCCAGUAUGUCAGGAAUGUUCUUGUAACUCGAUGCAGCUCUUGUGUAAGUGGUAUGAAGGGGAUGGGAUCAGUGAUCUUUGAUCAAGGGCAAAAUAUUGAUGUUGAAUUUGAUUUCAGAAGGAUUGGUAAGUAUGUGCAUUGCUUUAGUGCAUGCAAGCACCAAUAAUUGUAGCUUAAUUUUUAUAGCAUUCAGUUUACAAAGAAGAUUCAAAGAAAAUAUGGAGCAAACAUCAUUGGCAUCCCUUGGGAACCUUCUGUGAACUGUAUUUCAGGCAUAGAUAACUGCGCAUACGUAUGUAUGUAUACAAACUGCUUUGUAACAGUCUCUGAUUAAAUAUAAGUAAAACGCU
Centrocercus urophasianus (Greater sage-grouse) is the source of this 4807-nucleotide long non-coding RNA. RefSeq lists it as uncharacterized. The transcript is spliced from 2 exons. Lineage: Eukaryota; Metazoa; Chordata; Aves; Galliformes; Phasianidae. The record is from RefSeq and is a predicted model, not a curated record.